RNAcentral lists this ribosomal RNA (301 nucleotides) under uncultured bacterium. RNAcentral's name for it is "partial 16S ribosomal RNA". It matches the Rfam family "Bacterial small subunit ribosomal RNA", at positions 509 to 809 of the family's 1533-position model. The record is from RNAcentral.
CAGUAGCCGCGGGAAAACGGAGGGUGCAAGCGUUAAUCGGAAUUACUGGGCGUAAAGCGCACGCAGGCGGUCUGACAAGUCAGAUGUGAAAUCCCCGGGCUUAACCUGGGAACUGCAUUUGAAACUGUCAGGCUGGAGUCUUGUAGAGGGGGGUAGAAUUCCAGGUGUAGCGGUGAAAUGCGUAGAGAUCUGGAGGAAUACCGGUGGCGAAGGCGGCCCCCUGGACAAAGACUGACGCUCAGGUGCGAAAGCGUGGGGAGCAAACAGGAUUAGAUACCCGAGUAGUCCCUGUCUCUUAUAA